Tyto alba (common barn owl) is the source of this 427-nucleotide long non-coding RNA. RefSeq lists it as uncharacterized. The transcript has 3 exons. Lineage: Eukaryota; Metazoa; Chordata; Aves; Strigiformes; Tytonidae. The record is from RefSeq and is a predicted model, not a curated record.
CACCGGUGCCGCGCCCGGCGCGCAGAAACCCCGCUCCUAGGGACAGGUCGCCCUCCCUGCCGCCCCCCCACCCUCUCCUCUCCCCCACAGCAGCGGCCCCAGCUCACCUCAGGGAAAGGGGUCUCAGAUCCCCGGUGCUUCGGUACCUGCCUGGGUAAGGCUGACUAAAAAGAACGUACAAUUCCUGUAUCUCCUGUCCUCCAUCAUCCUGAAAAAGACCUACCAGCAGCCUUCCAAGCGAUCACCUGGCAAAGUUUAAAUACUAAUGUGCAUAGCACGACCACCAUUUGACUAAUGUAAAUUACAUCCUGAUGCAUCUGAUAUCAUGAUGAAAGGAAACAGGAUGAAAAUCUACAGACUGAAACAGGGAAGAUGAAAGCACUGUAAGCGAAAUGCGUUAUACCUAGAACAUUGCUGAAGCAAGAAC